This is a small nucleolar RNA of Dendrobium catenatum, 108 nucleotides long. NCBI's taxonomy places the organism in Eukaryota, Viridiplantae, Streptophyta, Magnoliopsida, Asparagales, Orchidaceae. The record is from RefSeq and is a predicted model, not a curated record.
AAGGCAUAGUGAGGGCACUUUCUUAGUAUCUCCUUGAAUCUCUCCCAACUAUCACAAAUAAAUUCUCCCUCUAACUUAGUAAAAAAAAGUAAUAUCAUUUCUAAUUUC